GAUGAAGAACGUAGCGAAAUGCGAUAAGUAAUGUGAAUUGCAGAAUUCAGUGAAUCAUCGAAUCUUUGAACGCACAUUGCGCCCGCUAGUAUUCUGGCGGGCAUGCCUGUUCGAGCGUCAUUUCAACCAUCAAGCCCCCGGCUUGUGUUGGGGGCCUGCGGCUGCCGCAGGCCCUGAAAAGCAGUGGCGGGCUCGCUGUCACACCGAGCGUAGUAGCAUACAUCUCGCUCUGGGCGUGCUGCGGGUUCCGGCCGUUAAACCACCUUCAUAACCCAAGGUUGACCUCGGAUCAGGUAGGAAGACCCGCUGAACUUAAGCAUAUCAAUAAGCGGAGGA
Molecule: unclassified non-coding RNA, 336 nt
Filed under: soil metagenome
Description: partial contains 5.8S ribosomal RNA, internal transcribed spacer 2, and large subunit ribosomal RNA
Rfam family: 5.8S ribosomal RNA (bases 1-120)
Source: RNAcentral